UUCUUAUCAAGAGAGACUGAGGGAUUGGCCCAAUGAAGUCUCAGCAACCGGCCUUUAAGAAGAAACGGUGCUAAUUCCAUAGGCGAUAAGCGCCUAGAAGAUGAGAA
Molecule: non-coding RNA, 107 nt
Filed under: Schinkia azotoformans LMG 9581
Lineage: Bacteria; Bacillati; Bacillota; Bacilli; Caryophanales; Bacillaceae
Description: Bacillus azotoformans LMG 9581 SAM riboswitch aptamer (S box leader)
Rfam family: SAM riboswitch aptamer (S box leader)
About the family: The SAM riboswitch is found upstream of a number of genes which code for proteins involved in methionine or cysteine biosynthesis in Gram-positive bacteria. The SAM riboswitch acts at the level of transcription termination control.
Source: Rfam by way of RNAcentral